Myotis davidii is the source of this 75-nucleotide non-coding RNA. Lineage: Eukaryota; Metazoa; Chordata; Mammalia; Chiroptera; Vespertilionidae. The record is from Rfam.
GGCGGUUCUCAGGUGAUGCACCCUGGAAUCCGGCUUCCUCCACUCUGGUUCUGGGUGUUUCACCCAAGAACCACA